CCUACGGGAGGCAGCAGUGAGGAAUAUUGGUCAAUGGCCGGAAGGCUGAACCAGCCAUGCCGCGUGAAGGUCAGUGCCCUAUGGGCGUUAAACUUCUUUUGUGCGGGAGCAAUAAUGGUCACGUGUGGCCAGACUAGAGUACCGUACGAAUAAGCAUCGGCUAACUCCGUGCCAGCAGCAGCGGUAAUACGGGGGAUGCAAGGGUUAUCCGGAUUUAUUUGGUUUAAAGGGUGCGUAGGCUGGGAGGUAAGUCAGCGGUGAAAUGCCCCCGCUCAACGGGGUGAAGUGCCAUUGAUACUGCCUGGCUGGAGUGCUGAUGCGGUAGGAGGAAUGUGUGGUGUAGCGGUGAAAUGCAUAGAUAUCACGCAGAACACCGAUUGCGAAGGCAUCUCACGAAUCCGCGAUUGACGCUGAUGCACGAAAGCGUGGGUAUCAAACAGGAUUAGAUACCCUAGUAGUC
Molecule: ribosomal RNA, 460 nt
Filed under: uncultured bacterium
Lineage: Bacteria
Description: partial 16S ribosomal RNA
Rfam family: Bacterial small subunit ribosomal RNA
Source: RNAcentral